UACGAAGGGGGCUAGCGUUGCUCGGAAUCACUGGGCGUAAAGCGCACGUAGGCGGAUUGCUAAGUCAGGGGUGAAAUCCUGGAGCUCAACUCCAGAACUGCCUUUGAUACUGGCGACCUUGAGUCCGGGAGAGGUGAGUGGAACUCCGAGUGUAGAGGUGAAAUUCGUAGAUAUUCGGAAGAACACCAGUGGCGAAGGCGGCUCACUGGCCCGGUACUGACGCUGAUGUGCGAAAGCGUGGGGAGCAAACAGG
Molecule: ribosomal RNA, 253 nt
Filed under: uncultured bacterium
Lineage: Bacteria
Description: partial 16S ribosomal RNA
Rfam family: Bacterial small subunit ribosomal RNA
Source: RNAcentral